GAUGAACGCUGGCGGUAUGCUUAACACAUGCAAGUCGAACGGACUCUUCGGAGUUAGUGGCGGACGGGUGAGUAACGCGUGAGAAUCUGGCUUUGGGUUCGGGACAACCACUGGAAACGGUGGCUAAUACCGGAUGUGCCGAGAGGUAAAAGAGAAAUUGCCUGAAGAUGAGCUCGCGUCUGAUUAGCUAGUUGGUGAGGUAAAGGCUCACCAAGGCAGCGAUCAGUAGCUGGUCUGAGAGGAUGACCAGCCACACUGGGACUGAGACACGGCCCAGACUCCUACGGGAGGCAGCAGUGGGGAAUUUUCCGCAAUGGGCGAACGCCUGACGGAGCAAUACCGCGUGAGGGAAGAAGGCUCUUGGGUUGUAAACCUCUUUUCUUAGAGAAGAACAAAAUGACGGUACCUAAGGAAUCAGCAUCGGCUAACUCCGUG
Molecule: ribosomal RNA, 435 nt
Filed under: uncultured bacterium
Lineage: Bacteria
Description: partial 16S ribosomal RNA
Rfam family: Bacterial small subunit ribosomal RNA
Source: RNAcentral